CCUACGGGAGGCAGCAGUGAGGAAUAUUGGUCAAUGGACGCAAGUCUGAACCAGCCAUGUCGCGUGCAGGAAGACUGCUCUAUGAGUUGUAAACUUCUUUUGUACGAGGGUAAACUCAGAUACGCGUAUCUUUCUGAAAGUAUUUUAUGAAUAAGGAUCGGCUAACUCCGUGCCAGCAGCCGCGGUAAUACGGAGGAUUCAAGCGUUAUCCGGAUUUAUUGGGUUUAAAGGGUGCGUAGACGGUCGGAUAAGUUAGAGGUGAAAUCUCGAGGCUCAACCUCGGAAUUGCAUUUGAUACUGUCCGGCUAGAGAGUAGUUGCGGUAGGCGGAAUGUGUGGUGUAGCGGUGAAAUGCUUAGAGAUCAUACAGAACACCGAUUGCGAAGGCAGCUUACCAAGCUACUUCUGACGUUGAGGCACGAAAGCGUGGGGAGCAAACAGGAUUAGAUACCCCUGUAGUC
This 460-nucleotide ribosomal RNA is filed under the name uncultured bacterium. RNAcentral's name for it is "partial 16S ribosomal RNA". It matches the Rfam family "Bacterial small subunit ribosomal RNA", at positions 338 to 795 of the family's 1533-position model. The record is from RNAcentral.